UAAAUAUUUAAAUAAAUUGUAAUUAUAAAUCGUCCUUAAAUUAUAUAACUCGAAUUUUCAAGAAAAUGCGAUUCAUUAUAUUCCUAUGCAUCUUUGUUUUUAAAGCCAAUCCAAUUCCAAGUGCUUUAACCACUGAACUCAGACAACUAUGUUGGACGAAACAUAAGCAUGAUUAUCCUAACCUAUUCAAUACUAUAGAUGAUUACGAUAGAGGAGAAAAUAAUUCAAGAAUAUCCUUUAUCCAAGGGGGUGAUAGAAACCUAGAUACAUAUUCAUCAACAAUAUUACCAACAAAACGAUAAAUUUAAUUGAGUGGCCUCAAUUAUUAUACCUAAUGCGAUUGAACGAACUCAAUUUAACAUUAAAUAUUAUAGCUGAUGUGAGUAGUCAUUAUUUAUAUAAAUUAGCAACCUUUUUUUUUAGUUCGAAAUUGGUUUUAAUAACAUUAGCGCUACGAUUAUGCUAUGUAUGAUGCCUUUAAA
Long non-coding RNA from Gordionus sp. m RMFG-2023, 482 nucleotides. RefSeq lists it as uncharacterized. The transcript is spliced from 3 exons. The record is from RefSeq and is a predicted model, not a curated record. Lineage: Eukaryota; Metazoa; Nematomorpha; Gordioida; Chordodea; Parachordodidae.